RNAcentral lists this ribosomal RNA (468 nucleotides) under uncultured bacterium. RNAcentral describes it as "partial 16S ribosomal RNA". It matches the Rfam family "Bacterial small subunit ribosomal RNA", at positions 28 to 507 of the family's 1533-position model. The record is from RNAcentral.
GACGAACGCUGGCGGCGUGCUUAACACAUGCAAGUCGAACGGAAAGGCCCUGCUUUUGUGGGGUGCUCGAGUGGCGAACGGGUGAGUAACACGUGAGUAACCUGCCCUUGACUUUGGGAUAACUUCAGGAAACUGGGGAUAAUACCGGAUAGGAGCUCCUGCUGCAUGGGGGGGUUUGGAAAGUUUCGGCGGUUGGGGAUGGACUCGCGGCUUAUCAGCUUGUUGGUGGGGGAGUGGCUUACCAAGGCUUUGACGGGUAGCCGGCCUGAGAGGGUGACCGGCCACAUUGGGACUGAGAUACGGCCCAGACUCCUACGGGAGGCAGCAGUGGGGAAUAUUGCACAAUGGGCGGAAGCCUGAUGCAGCAACGCCGCGUGCGGGAUGACGGCCUUCGGGUUGUAAACCGCUUUCGCCUGUGACGAAGCGUGAGUGACGGUAAUGGGUAAAGAAGCACCGGCUAACUACGUG